RNAcentral lists this ribosomal RNA (253 nucleotides) under uncultured bacterium. RNAcentral describes it as "partial 16S ribosomal RNA". It matches the Rfam family "Bacterial small subunit ribosomal RNA", at positions 524 to 776 of the family's 1533-position model. The record is from RNAcentral.
UACGGGGGGGGCAAGCGUUGUUCGGAAUUACUGGGCGUAAAGGGCUCGUAGGUGGCCAACUAAGUCAGACGUGAAAUCCCUCGGCUUAACCGGGGAACUGCCUCUGAUACUGGAUGGCUUGAGAUUGGGAGAGGGAUGCGGAAUUCCAGGUGUAGCGGUGAAAUGCGUAGAUAUCUGGAGGAACACCGGUGGCGAAGGCGGCAUCCUGGACCAACACUGACGCUGAGGAGCGAAAGCCAGGGGAGCAAACGGG